CGGGUGGCAGACUAUCUGGGUAUGUGCAUAUAUAUUCAUACCCGUAAGUCUCCAUCGAGC
Molecule: microRNA precursor, 60 nt
Filed under: Ascaris suum (pig roundworm)
Lineage: Eukaryota; Metazoa; Nematoda; Chromadorea; Rhabditida; Ascarididae
Description: Asu-Mir-54-o1_pre stem-loop
Source: RNAcentral